CCUCAGUGUCAGUAUCAGUCCAGGUGGUCGCCUUCGCCACUGGUGUUCCUUCCUAUAUCUACGCAUUUCACCGCUACACAGGAAAUUCCACCACCCUCUACCAUACUCUAGUCAGUCAGUUUUGAAUGCAGUUCCCAGGUUGAGCCCGGGGAUUUCACAUCCAACUUAACUAACCACCUACGCGCGCUUUACGCCCAGUAAUUCCGAUUAACGCUUGCACCCUCUGUAUUACCGCGGCUGCUGGCACAGAGUUAGCCGGUGCUUAUUCUGUCGGUAACGUCAAAAUUGCAGAGUAUUAAUCUACAACCCUUCCUCCCAACUUAAAGUGCUUUACAAUCCGAAGACCUUCUUCACACACGCGGCAUGGCUGGAUCAGGCUUUCGCCCAUUGUCCAAUAUUCCCCACUGCUGCCUCCCGUAGGAGUCUGGACCGUGUCUCAGUUCCAGUGUGACUGAUCAUCCUCUCAGACCAGUUACGGAUCGUCGCCUUGGUGAGCCAUUACCCCACCAACUAGCUAAUCCGACCUAGGCUCAUCUGAUAGCGCAAGGCCCGAAGGUCCCCUGCUUUCUCCCGUAGGACGUAUGCGGUAUUAGCGUCCGUUUCCGAACGUUAUCCCCCACUACCAGGCAGAUUCCUAGGCAUUACUCACCCGUCCGCCGCUCUCAAGAGAAGCAAGCUUCUCUCUACCGCUCGACUUGCAUGUGUUAGGCCUGCCGCCAGCGUUCAAU
Molecule: ribosomal RNA, 728 nt
Filed under: Pseudomonas gessardii
Lineage: Bacteria; Pseudomonadati; Pseudomonadota; Gammaproteobacteria; Pseudomonadales; Pseudomonadaceae
Description: partial 16S rRNA
Source: RNAcentral